RNAcentral lists this ribosomal RNA (495 nucleotides) under uncultured Streptococcus sp. RNAcentral's name for it is "partial 16S ribosomal RNA". Lineage: Bacteria; Bacillati; Bacillota; Bacilli; Lactobacillales; Streptococcaceae. The record is from RNAcentral.
CACGUAGUUAGCCGUCCCUUUCUGGUAAGCUACCGUCACAGUGUGAACUUUCCACUCUCACACUCGUUCUUGACUUACAACAGAGCUUUACGACCCGAAAACCUUCUUCACUCACGCGGCGUUGCUCGGUCAGGGUUGCCCCCAUUGCCGAAGAUUCCCUACUGCUGCCUCCCGUAGGAGUCUGGGCCGUGUCUCAGUCCCAGUGUGGCCGAUCACCCUCUCAGGUCGGCUAUGUAUCGUCGCCUAGGUGAGCCGUUACCUCACCUACUAGCUAAUACAACGCAGGUCCAUCUUGUAGUGGAGCAAUUGCCCCUUUCAAAUAAAUGACAUGUGUCACCCAUUGUUAUGCGGUAUUAGCUAUCGUUUCCAAUAGUUAUCCCCCGCUACAAGGCAGGUUACCUACGCGUUACUCACCCGUUCGCAACUCAUUCAAGAAGAGCAAGCUCUCUCUUCAGCGUUCUACUUGCAUGUAUUAGGCACGCCGCCAGCGUUCGU